Long non-coding RNA from Canis lupus familiaris (dog), 708 nucleotides. RefSeq lists it as uncharacterized. The record is from RefSeq and is a predicted model, not a curated record. The transcript has 3 exons. Lineage: Eukaryota; Metazoa; Chordata; Mammalia; Carnivora; Canidae.
CUCUGGGGCUUUCCACAUACUUGGGCUUCCUGACGGGACCUGCAGUGGAAAAGAUCCGAGUGUGGCUAAUUUUUUCCAGACGCAAACAAAGCUUCGGAAUGUACAGCGUGUGUCCUUCCCCAGGACCCAAAUAUGCCUAAAGGAGGAGCCGGCCCCUUCUCCUCCCUUGAGCACACGCACGCUCAUUUCAGUACAGACGCGGGAACGUCCGGCCUGGGGCUGCCAAAGGAGAAGGGGCAGUAAGCUCCGUUGCGAGAAUGUAGGCUCGGACCCAAACCAAAGCGGCUCCUUUGCUGCGCGGUCUCUACGGCUGCCUUUGGUAUCCGUCAAAUUGGCAGGCCCCAGAUGCACCUCCAUCCUGAGCUGUGAGAUCAGGGGCAGCGAGCUCACACACCACGGCAGAAACGCAUUGGAGGAGUCCUCUCUGGGGAAAGUCACCAGGAGAAAAGAACUUCACACACACAGAGAGAGAGAGAGAGAGAGGCGCAGAGACACAGGCAGAGGGAGAAGCAGGCUCCAUGCACCGGGAGCCCAACGUGGGACUCGAUCCCGGGUCUCCAGGAUCGCGCCCUGGGCCAAAGGCAGGCGCCAAACUGCUGUGCCACCCAGGGACCCCAACCCUAUGCAAUUCUUAAAACCCACGGAACUGUUCAACAAAAAGUAAACUUCAUUAUAUACAAAUAAAAAUGAAAAUUUUUUAAAAAGGGA